UCCUUUCCAGAGCCACAGUCAGUAGGCAGUGCUGGGGACAACCUACUCUCCCUUGCUCCUGCUCCAACAGGAUCACUGGGACCAGGUUUUUAAGGCACUGGCUGGGAUCUGCAUUCUGUCCCUGCUUCCACAAGGAGUAUGAGGAACACUGAGCAACACCACCACAGCUUGUUUCUCCUCAACAUAAGCUGUCAGUGUUGUGUCUGGAUCACUGCACUGCAAUGUGGAUGGAUACAGGACACACGAUAUGUGGAAAAUCCUUAAAACUGCAGUCCUGGUAGUAACCGACAUAUAUACUAUCAACAAAUAU
Long non-coding RNA from Lonchura striata (white-rumped munia), 310 nucleotides. The record is from Ensembl. NCBI's taxonomy places the organism in Eukaryota, Metazoa, Chordata, Aves, Passeriformes, Estrildidae.